GCCCCAGAUGACUUUUAAGAUGUUUAUAUCAUUGAAAAAGCUCCAAAUUAUCUCCCUUUGGUGCAAAAAUGCCAUUUGUUGACAUUAAAUUUCAUUAUCUUUUUUAACUCAUCGGUGACCUAUAUUUUUUAUUAUUGUUUUUAAAUAAGCUGUAAAUAAACUAAAUAAUUGUAAAAUUUAAGCGAUUUCUGUAAUUAGGUUUUUUUUUUCUUUUUCGAUAUAACCUCUAUUUCUUCUAUUAUAGCUCAACAGAAAAAAGGACAUUAACAAAAAUGUAUGCUUCUUCCAGAGGCAGAUUGUGAGCUUAAGUCAAC
Molecule: long non-coding RNA, 314 nt
Filed under: Mytilus galloprovincialis (Mediterranean mussel)
Lineage: Eukaryota; Metazoa; Mollusca; Bivalvia; Mytilida; Mytilidae
Source: RNAcentral